RNAcentral lists this ribosomal RNA (444 nucleotides) under uncultured bacterium. RNAcentral describes it as "partial 16S ribosomal RNA". It matches the Rfam family "Bacterial small subunit ribosomal RNA", at positions 339 to 795 of the family's 1533-position model. The record is from RNAcentral.
CUACGGGUUGCAGCAGUGGGGAAUAUUGCACAAUGGGCGCAAGCCUGAUGCAGCAACGCCGCGUGAGGGAUGAAGGCCUUCGGGUUGUAAAUCUCUUUUAGCAGGGAAGAAGCGAAAGUGACGGUACCUGCAGAAAAAGCACCGGCUAACUACGUGCCAGCAGCCGCGGGAAUACGUAGGGUGCAAGCGUUGUCCGGAAUUAUUGGGCGUAAAGAGCUCGUAGGCGGUUUGUCACGUCUGCUGUGAAAAUCCAAGGCUCAACCUUGGACUUGCAGUGGGUACGGGCAGGCUAGAGUGCGGUAGGGGAGAUGGGAAUUCCUGGUGUAGCGGUGAAAUGCGCAGAUAUCAGGAGGAACACCAAUGGCGAAGGCACAUCUCUGGGCCGUAACUGAUGCUGAGGAGCGAAAGCGUGGGGAGCGAACAGGAUUAGAUACCCUGGUAGUC